AUUGAACGCUGGCGGCAUGCUUUACACAUGCAAGUCGGACGAGUGGCGGACGGGUGAGUAAUGCUUGGGAAUCUAGCUUAUGGAGGGGGAUAACUACGGGAAACUGUAGCUAAUACCGCGUACCAUAGGAUGAGCCCACGUGGGAUUAGGUAGUUGGUGAGGUAAAGGCUCACCACGCCGACGAUCCCUAGCUGGUCUGAGAGGAUGACCAGCCACACUGGAACUGAGACACGGUCCAUACUCCUACGGGAGGCAGCAGUGGGGAAGAUUGCACAAUGGGCGCAAGCCUGAUGCAGCCAUGCCGCGUGUGUGAAGAAGGCCUUCGGGUUGUAAAGCACUUUCAGCGGGGAGGCGUUACCCGCAGAAGAAGCACCGGCUAACUCCGUGCCAGCAGCCGCGGUAAUUC
Molecule: ribosomal RNA, 406 nt
Filed under: uncultured bacterium
Lineage: Bacteria
Description: partial 16S ribosomal RNA
Rfam family: Bacterial small subunit ribosomal RNA
Source: RNAcentral